This 77-nucleotide transfer RNA is filed under the name Rhodospirillaceae bacterium. RNAcentral describes it as "tRNA-Pro". It matches the Rfam family "tRNA". From Rfam's summary of the family: Transfer RNA (tRNA) molecules are approximately 80 nucleotides in length. Their secondary structure includes four short double-helical elements and three loops (D, anti-codon, and T loops). Lineage: Bacteria; Pseudomonadati; Pseudomonadota; Alphaproteobacteria; Rhodospirillales; Rhodospirillaceae. The record is from RNAcentral.
CGGAGCGUGGCGCAGCCAGGUAGCGCGUCUGACUGGGGGUCAGAAGGUCGUGGGUUCGAGUCCCGCCGCUCCGACCA